UCGUGAGUUCCAACUAGAUGGUAGGUCAUAGAUAAAUCAUCAAACCUCAACAUCAGUCAUAUGAUAGAUUCGAUUAGCUCAAGUCCAAUUAUGAUUUCUGUAAAAAAAAAUUUUCAUCAAUCAUACUGCUGUGAGCACAGACUCUUGGACUUAACCUCUCAAAUCCUACAGGAUAACUCUUUUCUAUCAAAGUUGAUAG
RNAcentral lists this long non-coding RNA (199 nucleotides) under Elaeis guineensis (African oil palm). Its description in RNAcentral is "long non-coding RNA (EGUI_LNC027400)". The record is from RNAcentral. Lineage: Eukaryota; Viridiplantae; Streptophyta; Magnoliopsida; Arecales; Arecaceae.